This 106-nucleotide small nuclear RNA is filed under the name Prolemur simus (greater bamboo lemur). The record is from RNAcentral. Lineage: Eukaryota; Metazoa; Chordata; Mammalia; Primates; Lemuridae.
GUGCCUGCUUCAGCAGCACAUAUACUAAAUUGGAAUGACACAGAGAAGAUUAGUAGAGCCCUUGUGUAAAGAUGACAUGCAAAUUCAUAAAGCAUUCCACAUUACC